GGCGGGAUAGCUCAGUCGGUAGAGCGAGGGACUGAAAAUCCCUGCGUCCGCGGUUCAAUUCCGCGUCCCGCCACCA
Molecule: transfer RNA, 76 nt
Filed under: Actinomycetota bacterium
Lineage: Bacteria; Bacillati; Actinomycetota
Description: tRNA-Phe
Rfam family: tRNA
About the family: Transfer RNA (tRNA) molecules are approximately 80 nucleotides in length. Their secondary structure includes four short double-helical elements and three loops (D, anti-codon, and T loops).
Source: RNAcentral